This 1122-nucleotide small RNA is filed under the name Arabidopsis thaliana (thale cress). RNAcentral describes it as "ATSL271080". Lineage: Eukaryota; Viridiplantae; Streptophyta; Magnoliopsida; Brassicales; Brassicaceae. The record is from RNAcentral.
CUUAUGAGCUAUCAUACUAUAUCAUUGGGAGAUGGGAGUCUGUUCUUGUAUGUGUCCAUUGGCUUUUACCUUUAGCAUUCUACUGAAGCUCAAUCUUUUCUCUGAGAGUCCUCUGUGACUCGACCAAACCAUUAGAGGGACCAUUUUUGUCUCUUAGCCUAACCUCGAAACCAAGUGAGUUCAUAACCAUUGCAUUGCUUGAUCAACUGUUUAUGCUUAAUGAAUGUUAAAGGGAAUUGGUUGAUGUGAAUGUUUGAAUAGAUUAAGGCAAGUUGUUAGGUUGCAUUGUGACGAGUAUGGCUAACGUUUUUAAGUAAGGGUUUAUCAUCUUGUAACCUAGAAUUAGCUACCUGGACAUUGCGCUUACCUAUUUUAUAUGCAUGCUUCGCUUCUUGAAUCCCCACCUUCAAACUUCUCCUUCAACUUAAGAUUUUUGUUUGCUUGAGGGCAAGCAAGAGAUAAGUUUGGGAGAGUUGAUAACACUGUAUUUUACCCAUUUUAGGUGUAUGUUUAUCAUCAUUUAGCUUUGCAUUUGCUCAUUGUAUCAUAUCAUUUUGCACCAUUUUAGCUUGUUUUGCAUACUUAGGCAUCUAGGAUCAUCUUGCAUUCGCAUUGCAUGUUUUGGUGUGUUUUCAGGUGCAAAAGGAGCUUAAAAGGACUCUACUCGAUCCAUUCACUCGAUCCAGGCAGCUACAGAAGAGGCAUCAUUCUACUCGACCUCUUUACUCGAUCCAGGAUGCCACGGAGGAGGCUGCAGUUUACUCGACCCUCCUACUCGAUCAAGGCAACCUCAGAUGAAGCAGCAGAUUGAUCUACUCGCCCCUCCUACUCGAUCCACUACUCGAUCCAUUUACUCGAACAGGGUGACCACCCCUACAAGACUUGUUGAGCUAUCAAAGCGUCUUCGGAUCCUCCUCAUUCCCCACUCAUCCAGACAUUUGAGCAUACAGAUAGGAGAGGCUGAAGCAUCUACUCGACCAAUUGAUCACUCGGAGCAUAGACACAAAGGCGCAGACUUUGCAGCACCCUCUUUACUCGAUCCCCAAGGUCGAGUAUUCGCCAAAACCGCCUCAAGUCUCUUGUCUUCUAGUAAAUCUAGGGUUUCAACAUUUUAGUAUAAAU